CAACAAACAGAAUAGACAAGUAGAAAAUUUAACAUUUUUCAAAUUAAAAAUAUUUAAUACUGUCUGUUUAUUAUGCACUUUAAAGAGAAUCUCAAAUCACUCAAAAGAAUUGAUUAUCUGCGUCAUAAAUAACUGAUAUCUCGAGAAUACUUCGAUCAUUCAAUUAACGAAUCAAAUCAAAUUUACGUCAAGUGAGUAUCGCGGAAAAUCCGACAAAAAAUCGGGCGGCGUGUAGAGCUUAAACCCGACGGUGGGGGAUUCUCCUAAGCUUGAGCGUCAGCUGAUUGGUUGUUCCGGCGUCAGCUGAUUUUGACAGCCCGGACGACCUUGCACGUCCUAGCCGAGAUAUCGACCAAUCGGGAAGCGUUGCACCGUACGCACGCGCCUGCACUAAUCCUGAUCAGCUGACUCUCGCCGAGCUCGCAUCCUCGAUGCGAUCGAAAAAAUCUGCGCUACAGAAUGAAUCAUAUCGCGACGACAGAGUGCGUGUACCUGCGCGUUGCCGACAUUGCCAGGACAUUAGCUAUAUUCAUUCCGGGGUCUCGAGCUAUCCCGAUCAAUAAUUCGUUUCCCAGCUGUCACGCCCCUUGUUCUAAACGAACGAACGAACAAAGGAUCGAACAAAUGUGAAUGUAAUACCAACGAAAAUUAUACUACAAUUAUAGUACAACACUAUUAUUUAGUCUCGUUCAGAGUUUAUCUUCCCAAGUCGAAACACUUCACGGUAGUUGCAAUGUCUUCACGAUACUCGGAAAGCAUAACGUUUGCUUUUGGCGCUUAUUUCUUAUCUUAUUAUCAUGAUAAGGAUACCAUGAUGAACAGCCAAAUCGAAUUUAUCCAUAUUAUAAGAUAGCAGCCAACUUUUGUUCUCUUGUAUCUUUUACUAACUUUUUAUCCAAUAAAUAACUAUAUUUCGCAACGG
This is a long non-coding RNA of Pogonomyrmex barbatus (red harvester ant), 922 nucleotides long. Lineage: Eukaryota; Metazoa; Arthropoda; Insecta; Hymenoptera; Formicidae. The record is from RefSeq and is a predicted model, not a curated record.